GAUGAAGAACGUAGCGAAAUGCGAUAAGUAAUGUGAAUUGCAGAAUUCAGUGAAUCAUCGAAUCUUUGAACGCACAUUGCGCCCCCUGGUAUUCCGGGGGGCAUGCCUGUCCGAGCGUCAUUACAACCCUCAAGCUCAGCUUGGUAUUGGGCCCCGCCGCUCCGGCGGGCCCUAAAGUCAGUGGCGGUGCCGUCCGGCUCCGAGCGUAGUAAUUCUUCUCGCUCUGGAGGUCCGGUCGUGUGCUCGCCAGCAACCCCCAAUUUUUUUCAGGUUGACCUCGGAUCAGGUAUGGAUACCCGCUGAACUUAAGCAUAUCAAUAAGCGGAGGA
RNAcentral lists this unclassified non-coding RNA (329 nucleotides) under soil metagenome. Its description in RNAcentral is "partial contains 5.8S ribosomal RNA, internal transcribed spacer 2, and large subunit ribosomal RNA". The stretch from base 1 to 120 matches the Rfam family "5.8S ribosomal RNA", at positions 35 to 154 of the family's 154-position model. The record is from RNAcentral.